GACGAACGCUGGCGGCGUGCUUAACACAUGCAAGUCGAACGAGGUUCAAUCAGUCGCAAGACCGAGGAAGAUCUAGUGGCGAACGGGUGCGUAACACGUGAGGAACCUAUCCCAGUCUCUGGAAUAACAGGUGGAAACACCUGCUAAUACCGGAUGCCGUUGGACCAUCGCAUGGUGGUCCAACGAAAGAUUUAUCGGAUUGGGAGGGCCUCGCGGCCUAUCAGCUUGNGGUGAGGUAACGGCUCACCAAGGCGUCGACGGGUAGCUGGUCUGAGAGGAUGAUCAGCCACACUGGGACUGAGACACGGCCCAGACUCCUACGGGAGGCAGCAGUGGGGAAUCUUGCACAAUGGGCGAAAGCCUGAUGCAGCAACGCCGCGUGCGGGAAGAAGGCCCUAGGGUUGUAAACCGCUUUCAGCAGGGAA
RNAcentral lists this ribosomal RNA (425 nucleotides) under uncultured bacterium. RNAcentral describes it as "bacterial SSU rRNA". It matches the Rfam family "Bacterial small subunit ribosomal RNA", at positions 28 to 446 of the family's 1533-position model. The record is from RNAcentral.